Molecule: transfer RNA, 86 nt
Filed under: Pseudomonadales bacterium
Lineage: Bacteria; Pseudomonadati; Pseudomonadota; Gammaproteobacteria; Pseudomonadales
Description: tRNA-Leu
Rfam family: tRNA
About the family: Transfer RNA (tRNA) molecules are approximately 80 nucleotides in length. Their secondary structure includes four short double-helical elements and three loops (D, anti-codon, and T loops).
Source: RNAcentral
GCCCAGGUGUUGGAACUGGUAGACAAGCUGGAUUUAGGUUCCAGUGUCCUAGCGGCGUGAGGGUUCGACUCCCUCCCUGGGCACCA